AUCGCUUCUCGGCCUUUUGACUGGGAUCAAAUGUAG
This 36-nucleotide small nuclear RNA is filed under the name Cervus elaphus hippelaphus. The record is from RNAcentral. Lineage: Eukaryota; Metazoa; Chordata; Mammalia; Artiodactyla; Cervidae.